CCUACGGGUGGCAGCAGUGAGGAAUAUUGGUCAAUGGGCGCAAGCCUGAACCAGCCAAGUCGCGUGAGGGAUGACGGUCCGAUGGAUGGUAAACCUCGUUUGUCGGGGAGCAAGGCCCGCCACGUGUGGCGGGAAGGAGAGGACCCGAAGAAAAAGCAGCGGCUAACUCCGUGCCAGCAGCCGCGGUCAGACGGAGGAUGCGAGCGUUAUCCGGAUUUAUGGGGUUUAAAGGGGGCGUAGGCGGAAGGUUAAGUCAGCGGUCAAAUGUCGGGGCUCAACACCGGCCUGCCGUUGAAACUGGUCUUCUUGCGUGAGCGAGACGUAUGCGGCAUGCGUGGUGUAGCG
This 345-nucleotide ribosomal RNA is filed under the name uncultured bacterium. RNAcentral's name for it is "partial 16S ribosomal RNA". It matches the Rfam family "Bacterial small subunit ribosomal RNA", at positions 338 to 680 of the family's 1533-position model. The record is from RNAcentral.